Thelonectria olida is the source of this 91-nucleotide non-coding RNA. Lineage: Eukaryota; Fungi; Ascomycota; Sordariomycetes; Hypocreales; Nectriaceae. The record is from the annotation of a GenBank genome assembly.
GGCUCCAUGGUCUAGUGGUAUGAUUCAGCCUUUGGGACUCUGCUUGCUCAAAGAUUGGCUGAGGCCUCGGGUUCGAAUCCCGAUGGAGCCC